UCUCAUGAACUGUGAGGUCACGACCUGAGCCGAAAGCAAGAGUCAGACACGCGACCGACCAAGCCGCUGGUGCUCCUUGAGCUGUCCGUUAGCUAGUUCCAGGGGUGCUUCGCAGAGGUAGUCACUCGAAUCUCUGCAAGCUUAUUUUGUCCUUCGGGAUGCUUUGAAGAGAAAGGGACCUUACUUCACGUAUCAUCAGACCCACCAUCCCUUUAACUGACUUGGAGGCAGAGGUAGGAGGCUUGCGAUUAGACUGAGCCACAGGAAGAACCGCUCUGUCCGCCUCCUCCCCCCGCCGCCCCCACUUCCCUCCUCGUCGGCCACGCUCCCGGACAAGUGCUCGGAAGUAGGUGGCGUGGUGGUCGCGAGGGUGGGUGCCGAGCCCGCCUCCCACCCUGGCUCAGCCGCCCGAGGGUGCGUGACCUCGGACCAGCGUGAGCCCCGGCGUCUUGUGUCGUCGUCCGUAAAAGGAGGGUGACGGUACCUGCUGCAGAGUGCAUCCUGAGGACGGAAUGCUUCCUCUGGGUCCUGGAACAGCCCCGACGUGUCCCGGGCGUGUCACAGCCGCUGCCAUCACGUUUAUUGCGCUUGCUCUUACUGUUUCGUGCAGAUACGCGGACGGUCUUGGUUCCUGUGAGAGGCGCUGGAAUCGGUUCCUCUCGCAAAGCCUUGCUUACCGCGGGGUCCCUGCGGAGAAGGUCACUGCUGCUCACCCGACGAUUCCUUUAUCCCAGAGAGCACACGGUACUUUACGGACGUCCUCUUGCCUGGCAGACGGGGCCUGGAGCCUCCUGGGGGUCUCUGCUGUGCGACCACGGGCUUCUGCUCGUGAUUGCUCCGUCCUCGGGGGCCGGGCCAUCUCAGGUGGCUCCACGCGGUCUCCGGCCGCGGCCCCGAGUGGGGAUCGCAGCACCAGGGCGGCACGGUGUCUUUAGGAGUUUGUCGUGUCCAGAGUGCAUCUCCCCGACGAACGCUCCCCUGCAGCACGAGGGCUGACUUCGUGUGGGGCUGGGCCCCCGCGCGCGUGUAUUCGGUAACCUCUCACUCACGGCCCACCUGCCCUGGAAGAGCUUCGAAGUAGGUAGAAGACGGGCAGGGGACAUUCGUCCCGCGGACGCUGAAAGCGUCUCUCCUUCCGCGCACCAGGAGCUGCGGGGACGAAGCCGGCGGUCCCGGCACGCAGGCGCCGCUGAGACGGGACACGCAGGGGCUCGCCCGGCGUCUCGGAGGUGACACUGGAGUGCGGCCCCAGAUGCACAUGGAACCGCUUCACGGCCCCAGAAGCCUUUAGUGUGGUUUCAGUUAGAAGUGGUGGUGGCCGUUUCUGAUCCCGAGACCUGUCGUGGCAUGUGGACGCCUCGCUCUGACCGCCCCGUGCCACACUGCGCUUUCAAGUGGUGAGUCAAGUGAUUCCAGACUGUGUCAUGCACGAAAUUGGUCGCGGUGCCCUCGGAGCCUUUACCUCCAAAACCCCGCGGCUGUGAGCUACCCACGCAGCCCUCACUCGGCCGCAGGAGCUUCUGGGGUGGGGAGCGGGUGUGGUGACAGAGGGCAGGGGCCUCCUCCUCCCGUCACUCGGCCGGUGUCACUUUGCUCACCUUGGAGGCUUGGGCUUUACACGUGUGGGAUUUGUCAAGGACCAAGCGCUCCUAACCCGGCUGGUGUGGAGGGGGUGGGGGGCAAGAGACAGACCGCGUCCGCACGCGUGUGACGGCGCUGGGGACGCGGAGCCACCUGAGGUGGGGGGAGAGGAGCAGAGGCCCGUGAGGUGCUGAGUGUCGGGCCUCCCCUGUAGAGGCUCCACUUGCGGAAAGUGAAUCGUGCCUACCAAGGACAGAGAAUGCACCCUUUGUUCCAGAAUCACCUAGAAGGUGCUGAUCGGGGUUCAGCCCAGGAAGAAAGUGUCUGACACAGCUCUGUCAGAAUUGGGCAGUUUGUGUUCUUGGGCCUUGUGGCUCUUCCUGUGACGUCCUAGUCCCCUGGGGAUUCAGAGGCCAGGAAACGGCCCCUGCCUGCAGAGGGGGUGGUUCCGGGAUGACUCCUUCCUGCCCCUUCUUGGAGCUCGUGCUAAACACAAGUAUUAUUUCAUAUUCUCCAGACUGUGGCCUGUAAUCUACCAAUCUGGCAGCUGUCCCCCCACCCCCACCAGCCGGGUCAGUCUUCCCGUGACCACGCUCAGGAUUCACAAUUAGCCAGUAAUUGGUAAAUGAGCGAGGACGCACGCGUUCAUUUGUCGGUGCCGCCGGGACACAACACGCGGCAGAGCCUCGAACGGCUCGGAUCCGCACGGCGCUGGAGUGCCUGAACCACAGAUGUUCCCUCAUAUGAAAAUACAGAAGUGCGGAGGGAAAUCAGAUACCAGAUAGGCCGACAAUUUGGAGAAGGAGGAGGGAGCCAGAUGGGUGGUUUGUGGCGGUUAUUGGGCACACUCUGGCUUCCAGCGCCAGGCGGGGAGACCCCGGAUAGAAUCCGCACCGCAGAAACUUCUGCUUUAAUUUCCUGACGGAGAAGAGCAUGGGGUUAGCCGGAUGACAUAAUGAGAGUUAAGAGCAGAAGGUAAUUAUGGUAGAUGAAGGCAGAAGGAAAGGGAAGUAUGUUGGCCCUUGGAGGUCGAGUCAGUCCGUGCAGGAGAAGCAUGUGCUGCCCCGGGAAGGGAAGGAACGGUGGCCGUGUUUUCCAGGUGUGUCCUGACCGCCGGCCCUCGUCUGUCCGCAGCUGGGUGCCCCUCACCCUCCAGAAACCCCUGAAUCGUGAGCUCUUCCUCCUUCACCACCUCCACUCGGACGUCCUCUGUGGUCUGGACAAGGUCCUCGUCCUCCGGCAGAGGCCUCGGGGGAGGCCAGGGAUCCCGGGGCAGCAGUUUGAGAGACGCCACUUUUCUCCCCUCAGAAAGUCAGUACAUGAAGAGCAGGGCUGAGGUUGGUGAGGGCCUGGGAAGCGGGGCCCCCCAGAACACCCCCCCGACACGGGCAGGUUCUCCACCUUGCGUGGCUAGGAGGAAAGCGGAAGUAAGUCAUUGCCGCGGGAAGAGAAGCCGCCCUUUCGAUGCCUGCUCGUCCUUUGCCUGACAGCAUCGGCAUAUUUAGAAGUAUUUUGUCUUUUAGCAAGGGAAAGCGUUUUCCGAAGCGUUUUAAACUGAGCUACUUCUUGGCACUCUGAAAGAUUCUUCAGUUUUACCACUUCCGUGAAGAUGCUAGUUUAGAUACGCAAGUCGUUUGAAAGCAUCCUGACCUUUAGCAGAACCGUGGCUUCGCUUCACAAAAACCUUAAUAUCAUAACGUGGCAGGUAAUUACACGGUUUUUGUGAAACCCGGAAACCUGAUCAAGUAGGUUCGCCUCAUA
This is a long non-coding RNA of Lynx canadensis (Canada lynx), 3342 nucleotides long. RefSeq lists it as uncharacterized. The transcript is spliced from 2 exons. The record is from RefSeq and is a predicted model, not a curated record. Lineage: Eukaryota; Metazoa; Chordata; Mammalia; Carnivora; Felidae.